RNAcentral lists this ribosomal RNA (279 nucleotides) under uncultured bacterium. RNAcentral's name for it is "partial 16S ribosomal RNA". It matches the Rfam family "Bacterial small subunit ribosomal RNA", at positions 506 to 784 of the family's 1533-position model. The record is from RNAcentral.
UGCCAGCCGCCGCGGUAAUACAGAGGUCCCAAGCGUUGUUCGGAUUUACUGGGCGUAAAGAGUGCGUAGGCGGUCGAAAAAGUUUGGUGUGAAAUCUUCGGGCUUAACCCGAAAACUGCAUUGAAAACUAUUUGACUAGAGGAUAGGAGAGGAGAUUGGAAUUCUCAGUGUAGCAGUGAAAUGCGUAGAUAUUGAGAGGAACACCAGUUGCGAAGGCGGAUCUCUGGACUACUCCUGACGCUGAGGCACGAAAGCUGGGGGAGCGAAGAGGAUUAGAUA